This is a microRNA precursor of Vigna angularis (adzuki bean), 193 nucleotides long. It matches the Rfam family "MIR159 microRNA precursor family". The record is from Rfam. NCBI's taxonomy places the organism in Eukaryota, Viridiplantae, Streptophyta, Magnoliopsida, Fabales, Fabaceae.
AAUGGUUGAAGAGAGCUUCCUUCAGUCCACUCAUGGAUGGGUGAGGGGUUUGAAUUAGCUGCUGACUCAUUCAUUCAAACACAAUAGAUCUGACAUCAUGGUAUGCUAUUGUGAAUGUUUGAAUGAUGCAGGAGGUAAUUUCUUCCUUUUCUUGUCUGUGCUUGGACUGAAGGGAGCUCCCUCUAACUGUUUA